UUUCAAAUCUGAAUUUAUGUACUUUGUAGGCGUGUUUAUCUCACAAACAGCAUUCAGAAAUGGAAUAUAAUACGCGUCUGUCUAGCUUCGAGUACCAUCGAGUUUCGUAAGUAGUAGGGAGCUACCAUGAUCAGACCAGUCGAGUGAAACGUUAGUCUGUCAGGGGAGAAACCUAUCGACAAGAUGAGUAGCCCCAAUGGUCGGACUAAUGGAAACUGAAAUCCGGAUCCAACAGUCCGAAAAGACAAACAACAGCCUCUAUUAUCCGCCGAUGAAGCCGAGGAGGCUGCAAUCGUCGUAAAAUUAUCCAAAGGGCACAGAAUAAACAACUGGAUCGUUGGUAAAAGGGUAUCGCUGAAGAAUGUUUACAGGCUGGUAAAACGAGAUCGAUCGCGUAGGACCGGUGAUCCAUGCAACAGCGACUUCACCGCGGAUAAAGAAAACGCGUCGAUCAGCCGCGAUCGGCACUGGCUUUAUUACAUCCC
This 485-nucleotide unclassified non-coding RNA is filed under the name Bombus terrestris (buff-tailed bumblebee). Its description in RNAcentral is "misc RNA ENSBTSG00005030455.1". The record is from RNAcentral. Lineage: Eukaryota; Metazoa; Arthropoda; Insecta; Hymenoptera; Apidae.